GGUUAAUGGUAAGAGAAGCCUUCAUGUAGUCUGCAAACAGAAGAUUUGCUGUUGGGAGUAGACCUCGGGCACAUCUUUCUAGCUGACAAAUCUCCAUUCUCCAUUUUUACCAACUCAGGAGUGCCAAGGUUUGAGUCGUACUUGGACCAGAGCUCCCAAGCUUGCCUUGCUCGGAUCAUGAGGAAUAGCAGAAGACACUUGUAGCUGUGGCUAAAAG
Neopelma chrysocephalum (saffron-crested tyrant-manakin) is the source of this 217-nucleotide long non-coding RNA. RefSeq lists it as uncharacterized. The record is from RefSeq and is a predicted model, not a curated record. NCBI's taxonomy places the organism in Eukaryota, Metazoa, Chordata, Aves, Passeriformes, Pipridae. The transcript is spliced from 3 exons.